Molecule: ribosomal RNA, 280 nt
Filed under: Bacteroidales bacterium
Lineage: Bacteria; Pseudomonadati; Bacteroidota; Bacteroidia; Bacteroidales
Description: partial 23S ribosomal RNA
Rfam family: Bacterial large subunit ribosomal RNA
Source: RNAcentral
GGUCUCUAUCUGUUGUGGGCGCAGGAAUUUUGAGUGGACCUGACACUAGUACGAGAGGACCGUGUUGGACUGACCGCUGGCGUACCGGCUGUUCCGCCAGGAGCAUCGCCGGGUAUCCAAGUCGGGAACAGAUAAGCGCUGAAAGCAUCUAAGUGCGAAGCUGGCCACAAGAUAAGAAUUCCAUAUAGGGUAGUUAUAGACGAUGACAUUGAUAGGCUGCAGGUGUACGUGGGGUGACCCAUUCAGCCGAGCAGUACUAAUCACCCGAACACUUCUUUUC